RNAcentral lists this ribosomal RNA (497 nucleotides) under uncultured bacterium. RNAcentral's name for it is "partial 16S ribosomal RNA". It matches the Rfam family "Bacterial small subunit ribosomal RNA", at positions 28 to 507 of the family's 1533-position model. The record is from RNAcentral.
GAUGAACGCUGGCGGCGUGCCUAAUACAUGCAAGUCGAGCGAACAGAUGAGGAGCUUGCUCCUCUGACGUUAGCGGCGGACGUGUGAGUAACACGUGUAUAACCUACCUAUAAGACUGGUAUAACUUCGGGAAACCGGAGCUAAUACCGGAUAAUAUAUUGAACCGCAUGGUUCAAUAGUGAAAUACGGUUUUGCUGUCACUUCUAGAUGGAUCCGCGCCGCAUUAGCUAGUUGGUAAGGUAACGGCUUACCAAGGCAACGAUGCGUAGACGACCUGAGAGGGUGAUAGGCCGCACUGGAACUGAGACGCGGUCCAGACUCCUACGGGAGGCAGCAGUAGGGAAUCUGCCGCAAUGGGCGAAAGCCUGACGGAGCAACGCCACGUGAGUGAUGAAGGUCUUCGGAUCGUAAAACUCUGUUAUUAGGGAAAAACAAAUGUGUAAGUAACUAUGCACGUCUUGACGGUACCUAGUCAGAAAGCCACGGCUAACUACGUG